CUGCCCGGUAGUGGGGGAUAACCUGAGGAAACUCAGGCUAAUACCGCAUACGUCCUACGGGAGAAAGCAGGGGAUCUUCGGACCUUGCGCUAUCGGAUGAGCCUAUGUCGGAUUAGCUAGUUGGUGAGGUAAUGGCUCACCAAGGCUGCGAUCCGUAGCUGGUCUGAGAGGAUGAUCAGCCACAUCGGGACUGAGACACGGCCCGAACUCCUACGGGAGGCAGCAGUGGGGAAUAUUGGACAAUGGGCGAAAGCCUGAUCCAGCCAUGCCGCGUGUGUGAAGAAGGCCCUCGGGUUGUAAAGCACUUUCAGUGAGGAAGAACGCCUUCGGGUUAAUACCCCGGAGGGAAGACAUCACUCACAGAAGAAGCACCGGCUAACUCCGUGCCAGCAGCCGCGGUAAUACGGAGGGUGCGAGCGUUAAUCGGAAUUACUGGGCGUAAAGCGCGCGUAGGCGGCGUGAUAAGCCGGUUGUGAAAGCCCCGGGCUCAACCUGGGAACGGCAUCCGGAACUGUCAGGCUAGAGUGCAGGAGAGGAAGGUAGAAUUCCCGGUGUAGCGGUGAAAUGCGUAGAGAUCGGGAGGAAUACCAGUGGCGAAGGCGGCCUUCUGGACUGACACUGACGCUGAGGUGCGAAAGCGUGGGUAGCAAACAGGAUUAGAUACCCUGGUAGUCCACGCCGUAAACGAUGUCGACUAGCCG
Molecule: ribosomal RNA, 701 nt
Filed under: Halomonas nitroreducens
Lineage: Bacteria; Pseudomonadati; Pseudomonadota; Gammaproteobacteria; Oceanospirillales; Halomonadaceae
Description: bacterial SSU rRNA
Rfam family: Bacterial small subunit ribosomal RNA
Source: RNAcentral